RNAcentral lists this ribosomal RNA (118 nucleotides) under Brycon insignis. The record is from RNAcentral. Lineage: Eukaryota; Metazoa; Chordata; Actinopteri; Characiformes; Bryconidae.
UACGCCCGAUCUCGUCCGAUCUCGGAAGCUAAGCAGGGUCGGGCCUGCUUAGUACUUGGUUGGGAGACUGCCUGGGAAUACCAGGUGCUGUAAGCUUGCUUACGGCCAUACCAGCCUG